CCUUUCCACGAAGACGUCGCGUCUCGUCGCGUCAUGAUUCUCGUAGAAGAGACCUGAUUAUCGAGGAAAAGCGGUCGGUGUCUCGCGAUUUUGUCUGAUCGCCAAAUCCAGCGAAUAAGUAGGUAUCACGGUCUUUCGCAACGAAGCAACACGUUUUUGGUCGGUGAUGCAAUUUCAUUGCUAAUUACGUCACUUUUCAUGUAUAUGUAUUUUUGAAAAUAUCUGGACGAGUAGAGACCGGUGGUUCAGACGGUUCACGAAUGUUUUACGAUCGAUUUUAUUGAACGGCGUAGAUCGACGAACGAGAGACCAUUGUAAAGUUCAAAAUCGUCAAUAAAUGGCCGACCAUAAUUCGACGAAGAGGAAGAGGAACUGCUUAAAAUGUAAAGCUUAGAAGGUGGCUGGCUGGCUGGCUGGCUGGCUGGCUGGUUGCCUCCGGGAUCUUGGAGCAGCGUAUUUUCAAGCAAACAUUGCGACAGAGUGGAGCCAUUCGACUUUACAAACUUUGCAUUUACAUAAAACCAAAGCAAAGCUGGUCGACUGUAUUAAGUUCAAGAUCACGAGGAAUCCUCGAAGCACCGAAUCCCUAUGCGCUGCGUCACGAUCAAGAAUAUCGUUAACAUCUCUUCCACGAGUGUCCUUAGAGUUAAACGAUAUUCAAAUUCAAAACAGACCGCGGCGGCCGUUAUGGCUAUACAUAUAUACAAACGAGCACGUUUCUUUGAACUCUCCUGUAACCUUCCUUCAUGAUGGGCAGUUUUUACCGAUCGAAGAAUCAUCGGCUAUUGGUCAACAAUUUUAAAUCUCAAGUCUCUAGUCAAAAUGAGUCGAAGCGCGUCGACAUUAUUUAUCGUCUAAGUUUCAAGGCAGGCUAUGUAUCUAUAAACUGGAAAAUGACUGAUCAAUGAAUAUUUUUGCAAAGUGCUCACUGUCGAUGCAACGUUUAUUUCUAAAUGUACGAGGCAUCAAAUAUUGAUCGCUAGUGACAUCUAAACUCUUGUACGUUGUUUAGACAGAACGGUUUGGAUACGCGACCGUGAAUUUCGGAGCAGUCUAUUUCCCUCCCUCACACACACACGAUUGUUCACACGAACGAACGAACGAACAGAAGGCACGAUAUACACCGAUGAAACCACCUGUACAAAUCGGCGAACGUGGAGCGGUAUCUCGUUGCGGUAGUGGGCAGUGAAUGGCUGUCGCACGCGGAGCAAUUGCUCGCUCGAAGAAGAAUUCAAGAGGAGUUCUCGCGUUUUCCACAUGGCACACGACCUAAUUCGUCCAUCUUACGUAAGCGACAACAUUGGAUCAUUCAUGCUCAGCUGAUCGCAAUACGCGCGCGCUGCUGCAAUUAAUGCGCGAGUACACCGGUACUUUUCUAUCUGUAGAAAUACGCACAAAGGGGUCUCUAAAUAUAAUUUCCACGGGUUAACGGUCGAUCCGUUUUAAGAUUUAAUCAAGUCGGACGAUGUUUUACGACGGUGGUUUAUGAACGGUACGAAAAUUAUCCAACCGCUUCCGUCAGUGUCACUGCGUCAGAUGGUACAGUAGCUCGUAAAAGAAGCGGAUUUCACGGCGCAACAUUUGAAACAAAGUACCGUAUUCGAUUCGAUUUUAUCGAUCGACCGAUAACAGAGGACCCGAUACACAAAGAAUUUAGCCUUGGCCUACUGUUUCACCGAGUUCGGGACACGAACCAACGAAUCACUGUCGCAAAAGUCGAGCGUGAGUGUUGAUAGUCCGUUGCACAACGGUAGAAACGUGCCCACGAUGUUCUUUCCCGGCUGGCGGCUUUAAUGGAGCGAUUCGUACCGUUUGUGAAUCGUGAUUAACACGAUUCGGUAUGCUCGACAUUGUGUCCUGUUUUUCAGCCAGCUGAUGGAUCGCGCCUCGAGGCCACUUGACCUACAUUAUUUUUCGCAACGAGGCCCACCUUUUUGUCAUAUCGUUUCUACACUUCCCUGGAGAUUUGCUGCAACCAUUUAAACGAGAGCACGCGAGAAACGAGAAGACAAGAAGAAGUUACGCAAUGCUUCUCUAAGCUGAAAGAAGAACUGAAAUCUUAUAUUGGGUCAGUGGAAAUUUGCCCAAAGAAAAAGAAGUUCGAAAAAUAAUUCUGUAGGGAGUUAACUGUACAGAAUUGUGUAGCGAGUUCCCUCUGUUUCGUCGCAACGCAACGUAAUCAUACGUUGGAAAAUAAAGAUUCGAUUGGAUGAUUCUCCUUUGA
Molecule: long non-coding RNA, 2224 nt
Organism: Bombus impatiens (common eastern bumble bee)
Lineage: Eukaryota; Metazoa; Arthropoda; Insecta; Hymenoptera; Apidae
Exons: 3
Source: RefSeq, a predicted model, not a curated record